This 264-nucleotide ribosomal RNA is filed under the name uncultured archaeon. RNAcentral describes it as "partial 16S ribosomal RNA". It matches the Rfam family "Archaeal small subunit ribosomal RNA", at positions 714 to 982 of the family's 1478-position model. The record is from RNAcentral.
AGACGUCUACAUUAGAUACCCCUGUAGUCCCAGCCGUAAACUAUGCGCGUUAGGUGUAUCGGUGACCACGAGUCACCGAGGUGCCGAAGGGAAACCGUGAAACGUGCCGCCUGGGAAGUACGGUCGCAAGGCUGAAACUUAAAGGAAUUGGCGGGGAGCACCACAACGGGUGGAGCCUGCGGUUUAAUUGGACUCAACGCCGGGAAGAUCACCGGAUAAGACAGCGGAAUGAUUGCCGGGCUGAAGACUCUGCAUGACUAGCUG